GCCAGGCGUGGUGGUGCACGCCUAUAAUCCUAGUAGCUUGGGAGGCUGAGACAGGUGUAUCAAGUUCAAAGCCAACCUCAGCAAUGUUGAGGUGCUAAGCAACUCAUUGAGACCCUGUCUCUA
This 123-nucleotide small RNA is filed under the name Marmota monax (woodchuck). The record is from RNAcentral. Lineage: Eukaryota; Metazoa; Chordata; Mammalia; Rodentia; Sciuridae.